Molecule: long non-coding RNA, 524 nt
Filed under: Ananas comosus (pineapple)
Lineage: Eukaryota; Viridiplantae; Streptophyta; Magnoliopsida; Poales; Bromeliaceae
Description: long non-coding RNA (ACOM_LNC018847)
Source: RNAcentral
AUCCGGAGGCAGGAGGGUGAAGAUUCAAGGCUAUUCCUUUCACACUGCAGUACUCUCACCUCCCGCUCCAUUUCUUGCCGGGAGGGAUUAUUUUUUAUUUUAUUUUUAGCUCCCACUUACCGUCCCAUUCAAGGGAAUCGGGGGAGUGAAUUUUUUAUGGAUUUUUUACGAAUCGAGACAAAUUGAAGGAAGAAAAAGGCCUCCCGCCUCCUGCUUCAUUUACUUGACGGAUUGGAACGGAUUCGGAACGAAUUAUAUUUUUCUAUAUUUUUUGUUCCCACUUACCGCCCUAUUCGGGACGGAUCGGAGCAAGAGCUCCACCAAUCCAGAUCCAUUUGCAUCCCUAGUCUAGGGCAGGCUCCACGAAGUUCAUCUGAAAGAGAAAAUCUGAAUCAAGAAUUAGAAAAGUAUGAUCUUUUCGGAUCCAUCAUAUACAACUAAAGAGUUGUCUACCACUCAUUAUGAUUCCAACCUGAUCAUUUAGAAAUUUUCUUUUAAGUGAUCCCAUUCUUAAAUCAUUUUUU